RNAcentral lists this unclassified non-coding RNA (279 nucleotides) under Hevea brasiliensis (rubber tree). Lineage: Eukaryota; Viridiplantae; Streptophyta; Magnoliopsida; Malpighiales; Euphorbiaceae. The record is from RNAcentral.
GAAGUUAAACUAAACCUAAAUACAAUAGGAAAAAAUAAACUAAAUAGGAAAACUAAAUUCUAAGUCCUAAAUAGAGUAGGAGACUUUCUAAUUAAUUCUAAUAUAAUUUCUGCGGUUGUUAGAAGUCUCCACAAGAUAUCCUAAGUGAAUUAGGACUAUUAGGAAAUUAAAAUUAGUUGAAAAAAAAAUUCUACCUUAUUGUCUAGGCCCUACAUCAUAUUUGGCCAUUAAUAACGAUGAUAGAAAGAGAUUAUCACGUACCAGUCUUUUUUUUUUUUU